This 97-nucleotide signal recognition particle RNA is filed under the name Escherichia coli. RNAcentral's name for it is "signal recognition particle sRNA small type". It matches the Rfam family "Bacterial small signal recognition particle RNA". Rfam says of the family: The signal recognition particle (SRP) is a universally conserved ribonucleoprotein involved in the co-translational targeting of proteins to membranes. Archaeal SRP consists of a 7S RNA and homologues of the eukaryotic SRP19 and SRP54 proteins. The record is from RNAcentral. Lineage: Bacteria; Pseudomonadati; Pseudomonadota; Gammaproteobacteria; Enterobacterales; Enterobacteriaceae. RNAcentral also lists the same sequence under 3 other names.
UGUUGGUUCUCCCGCAACGCUACUCUGUUUACCAGGUCAGGUCCGGAAGGAAGCAGCCAAGGCAGAUGAGGCGUGUGCCGGGAUGUAGCUGGCAGGG